This 996-nucleotide ribosomal RNA is filed under the name Salmonella enterica subsp. enterica serovar Typhimurium str. CDC_2009K1158. Its description in RNAcentral is "bacterial LSU rRNA". It matches the Rfam family "Bacterial large subunit ribosomal RNA", at positions 80 to 1116 of the family's 2925-position model. Lineage: Bacteria; Pseudomonadati; Pseudomonadota; Gammaproteobacteria; Enterobacterales; Enterobacteriaceae. The record is from RNAcentral.
GGUAAGGUGAUAUGAACCGUUAUAACCGGCGAUUUCCGAAUGGGGAAACCCAGUGUGAUUCGUCACACUAUCAUUAACUGAAUCCAUAGGUUAAUGAGGCGAACCGGGGGAACUGAAACAUCUAAGUACCCCGAGGAAAAGAAAUCAACCGAGAUUCCCCCAGUAGCGGCGAGCGAACGGGGAGGAGCCCAGAGCCUGAAUCAGCAUGUGUGUUAGUGGAAGCGUCUGGAAAGGCGCGCGAUACAGGGUGACAGCCCCGUACACAAAAGCGCAUGUGCUGUGAGCUCGAUGAGUAGGGCGGGACACGUGGUAUCCUGUCUGAAUAUGGGGGGACCAUCCUCCAAGGCUAAAUACUCCUGACUGACCGAUAGUGAACCAGUACCGUGAGGGAAAGGCGAAAAGAACCCCGGCGAGGGGAGUGAAAAAGAACCUGAAACCGUGUACGUACAAGCAGUGGGAGCACCCUUCGGGGUGUGACUGCGUACCUUUUGUAUAAUGGGUCAGCGACUUAUAUUCUGUAGCAAGGUUAACCGUAUAGGGGAGCCGGAGGGAAACCGAGUCUUAAUUGGGCGUUAAGUUGCAGGGUAUAGACCCGAAACCCGGUGAUCUAGCCAUGGGCAGGUUGAAGGUUGGGUAACACUAACUGGAGGACCGAACCGACUAAUGUUGAAAAAUUAGCGGAUGACCUGUGGCUGGGGGUGAAAGGCCAAUCAAACCGGGAGAUAGCUGGUUCUCCCCGAAAGCUAUUUAGGUAGCGCCUCGUGAAUUCAUCUCCGGGGGUAGAGCACUGUUUCGGCUAGGGGGCCAUCCCGGCUUACCAACCCGAUGCAAACUGCGAAUACCGGAGAAUGUUAUCACGGGAGACACACGGCGGGUGCUAACGUCCGUCGUGAAGAGGGAAACAACCCAGACCGCCAGCUAAGGUCCCAAAGUCAUGGUUAAGUGGGAAACGAUGUGGGAAGGCCCAGACAGCCAGGAUGUUGGCUUAGAAGCAGC